GAACAGAAGAGGUAGGCCUGGAUCCUACCUCAAUAAGGGGCUAACUGAUGAACGGAAGAGGUAGGCCUGGAUCCUACCUCAAUAAGGGGCUAACUGAUGAACGGAAGAGGUAGUCUUGUAUCCUACCUCAAUAAGGGGCUAACUGAUGAACGGAAGAGGUAGGCCUGGAUCCUACCUCAAUAAGGGGCUAACUGAUGAACGGAAGAGGUAGUCUUGUAUCCUACCUCAAUAAGGGGCUAACUGAUGAACGGAAGAGGUAGGCCUGGAUCCUACCUCAAUAAGGGGCUAACUGAUGAACGGAAGAGGUAGUCUUGUAUCCUACCUCAAUAAGGGGCUAACUGAU
This is a long non-coding RNA of Oncorhynchus tshawytscha (Chinook salmon), 343 nucleotides long. The record is from Ensembl. Lineage: Eukaryota; Metazoa; Chordata; Actinopteri; Salmoniformes; Salmonidae.